This 811-nucleotide ribosomal RNA is filed under the name uncultured bacterium. RNAcentral's name for it is "bacterial SSU rRNA". It matches the Rfam family "Bacterial small subunit ribosomal RNA", at positions 51 to 860 of the family's 1533-position model. The record is from RNAcentral.
ACACAUGCAAGUCGAACGGAGCACCCUUGAUUGAGGUUUCGGCCAAAUGAUAGGAAUGCUUAGUGGCGGACUGGUGAGUAACGCGUGAGGAACCUGCCUUUCAGAGGGGGACAACAGUUGGAAACGACUGCUAAUACCGCAUGACGCAUUUUGAUCGCAUGGUCGGAAUGCCAAAGAUUUAUCGCUGAAAGAUGGCCUCGCGUCUGAUUAGCUAGUUGGUGAGGUAACGGCCCACCAAGGCGACGAUCAGUAGCCGGACUGAGAGGUUGACCGGCCACAUUGGGACUGAGAUACGGCCCAGACUCCUACGGGAGGCAGCAGUGGGGAAUAUUGGGCAAUGGGCGCAAGCCUGACCCAGCAACGCCGCGUGAAGGAAGAAGGCUUUCGGGUUGUAGACUUCUUUUAAGUGGGAAGAGUAGAAGACGGUACCACUUGAAUAAGCCACGGCUAACUACGUGCCAGCAGCCGCGGUAAUACGUAGGUGGCAAGCGUUGUCCGGAUUUACUGGGUGUAAAGGGCGUGCAGCCGGGCAUGCAAGUCAGAUGUGAAAUCUCAGGGCUUAACCCUGAAACUGCAUUUGAAACUGUAUGUCUUGAGUGCCGGAGAGGUAAUCGGAAUUCCUUGUGUAGCGGUGAAAUGCGUAGAUAUAAGGAAGAACACCAGUGGCGAAGGCGGAUUACUGGACGGUAACUGACGGUGAGGCGCGAAAGCGUGGGGAGCGAACAGGAGUAGAUACCCUGGUAGUCCACGCUGUAAACGAUGGAUACUAGGUGUGCGGGGACUGACCCCCUGCGUGCCGCAGUUAACACAA